UGGGGAAUCUUGGUCAAUGGGCGAAAGCCUGAACCAGCGACGCCGCGUGAGUGAUGAAGGCCUUCGGGUUGUAAAGCUCUGUGGGGCGAGACGAAAGCCUACGUUCUAACAGGACGUAGUUUGACGGUAUCGCCUUAGCAAGCACCGGCUAACUCUGUG
This 159-nucleotide ribosomal RNA is filed under the name uncultured bacterium. Its description in RNAcentral is "partial 16S rRNA". It matches the Rfam family "Bacterial small subunit ribosomal RNA", at positions 355 to 507 of the family's 1533-position model. The record is from RNAcentral.